GAUGAACGCUGGCGGCGUGCCUAAUACAUGCAAGUCGAGCGGUAAGGCUCUCACAGUUUGCUUCUUGCGCUGUUUCGAGACAGGUCGCGGAAAUUUCUUCGAAAUUUUCGCAUCAAAAACGAAGGAGUGAAUGCGGAAUUAACUUCCUCAUAAAGAAAGAAGGAGCAAAGUGUGAGAGUACACGAGCGGCGGACGGCUGAGUAACGCGUAGGAACGUACCCCAAAGUGAGGGAUAAGCACCAGAAAUGGUGUCUAAUACCGCAUGUGGUCUUCGGAUUAAAGCUUCGGCGCUUUGGGAGCGGCCUGCGUAUGAUUAGUUUGUUGGUGAGGUAAUGGCUCACCAAGGCUUCGAUCAUUAGCUGGUCUGAGAGGAUGAUCAGCCAGACUGGGACUGAGAACGGCCCAGACUCCUACGGGAGGCAGCAGUAGGGAAUUUUCCACAAUGGGCGAAAGCCUGAUGGAGCAACGCCGCGUGCAGGAUGAAGGCCUUCGGGUU
RNAcentral lists this ribosomal RNA (496 nucleotides) under uncultured bacterium. Its description in RNAcentral is "bacterial SSU rRNA". It matches the Rfam family "Bacterial small subunit ribosomal RNA", at positions 28 to 424 of the family's 1533-position model. The record is from RNAcentral.